UACGGAGGGGACUAGCGUUGUUCGGAAUUACUGGGCGUAAAGCGCACGUAGGCGGACAUUUAAGUCAGGGGUGAAAUCCCGGGGCUCAACCCCGGAACUGCCUUUGAUACUGGGUGUCUGGAGGUCGAGAGAGGUGAGUGGAAUUCCGAGUGUAGAGGUGAAAUUCGUAGAUAUUAGGAAGAACACCAGUGGCGAAGGCGGCUCACUGGUCCGGUACUGACGCUGAGGUGCGAAAGCGUGGGGAGCAAACAGG
Molecule: ribosomal RNA, 253 nt
Filed under: uncultured bacterium
Lineage: Bacteria
Description: partial 16S ribosomal RNA
Rfam family: Bacterial small subunit ribosomal RNA
Source: RNAcentral